UGGGGGAUAUUGCGCAAUGGGCGAAAGCCUGACGCAGCGACGCCGCGUGGGUGAUGAAGGCCUUCGGGUCGUAAAGCCCUGUCGAGGGGAACGAAACGGCUUCGACCUAACACGUCGAGGCCCUGACGGUACCCACAAAGGAAGCACCGGCUAACUCCGUGCCAGCAGCCGCGGUAAUACGGAGGGUGCAAGCGUUGUUCGGAAUCACUGGGCGUAAAGGGCGUGUAGGCGGUCCGCUAAGUCUGAUGUGAAAGCCCGGGGCUCACCCCCGAAACUGCGUCUGAAACUACAGGUCUAGAAUACUGGAGAGGGAAGGGGAAUUUCUCAUGUAGGGGUAAAGUCCGUAGAUAUGCGAAGGAACACCAGAGGCGAAGGCGCCUUCCUGGACAGUAAUUGACGCUGAGGUGCGAAAGCGUGGGGAUCAAACAGGAUUAGAUACCCUGGUAGUCCACGCUGUAAACGAUGAACACUAGAUGUUGGAGGAUUUGACCCCUUCAGCGUCGAAGCUAACGCGUUAAGUGUUCCGCCUGGGAAGUACGGUCGCAAGACUA
Molecule: ribosomal RNA, 551 nt
Filed under: uncultured bacterium
Lineage: Bacteria
Description: bacterial SSU rRNA
Rfam family: Bacterial small subunit ribosomal RNA
Source: RNAcentral